UGGGGAAUAUUGGACAAUGGGCGCAAGCCUGAUCCAGCCAUGCCGCGUGAGUGAAGAAGGCCCUAGGGUUGUAAAGCUCUUUCAGCGGGGAAGAUGAUGACGGUACCCGCAGAAGAAGCCCCGGCUAACUCCGUGCCAGCAGCCGCGGUAAUACGGAGGGGGCAAGCGUUGUUCAGAAUUACUGGGCGUAAAGGGCGCGCAGGCGGCUGGUCGCGUCAGGUGUGAAAGCCCCGGGCUCAACCUGGGAACUGCACUUGAUACGGGCCGGCUUGAGGUCGAGAGAGGAGUGUGGAAUUCCCAGUGUAGAGGUGAAAUUCGUAGAUAUUGGGAAGAACACCAGUGGCGAAGGCGGCACUCUGGCUCGUAUCUGACGCUGAGGCGCGAAAGCGUGGGGAGCAAACAGGAUUAGAUACCCCCGUAGUCC
This 424-nucleotide ribosomal RNA is filed under the name uncultured prokaryote. RNAcentral's name for it is "bacterial SSU rRNA". It matches the Rfam family "Bacterial small subunit ribosomal RNA", at positions 355 to 796 of the family's 1533-position model. The record is from RNAcentral.